UACGGGGGGGGCAAGCGUUGUUCGGAAUUACUGGGCGUAAAGGGCUCGUAGGCGGCCAACUAAGUCAGACGUGAAAUCCCUCGGCUUAACCGGGGAACUGCGUCUGAUACUGGAUGGCUUGAGGUUGGGAGAGGGAUGCGGAAUUCCAGGUGUAGCGGUGAAAUGCGCAGAUAUCGGGAGGAACACCGGUGGCGAAGGCGGUUCUCUGGGCCUUACCUGACGCUGAGGAGCGAAAGCGUGGGGAGCGAACAGG
RNAcentral lists this ribosomal RNA (253 nucleotides) under uncultured bacterium. RNAcentral's name for it is "partial 16S ribosomal RNA". It matches the Rfam family "Bacterial small subunit ribosomal RNA", at positions 524 to 776 of the family's 1533-position model. The record is from RNAcentral.